CAGGACCUGCCUGGAUGCUGAUGGGCAGGACUGGGGAGGAGGUGAAGGGACCAUAUAGCAGUCUAAGGGAAGAUAGAGUUUGUUCCCUGAGAAGGUGGUUUAGCAUCCCCCAUGUCCCCAUCCCCUCAGUGCCCCUGCCUCAUGGGCAACCGGGGGAAGCAAGGAGAGCGUGACAGAGGCACGGCCAGUGGGGAGACGGAGCCAGAGAAGACAUCUGUCAGCAGACGGCCUGAGAGGGCAGAAGGUGGGCACCAGUUUGUACGGUCUUCCCUUCUUGCCCAGUCCGCCACAAUGCUAUGGGGGACAUAAGGGAGGGGACAGACCAGAAUCUCGUCAGGAUUAGAAGUAAGCCUGGCUAUGGACUCUGCUUGACCUCCAGAAGUUUCCCCUCAGGUGAAACAGGAUUUUUCAAAGACAAGGAAACUAAGGCCUCCUGGAGUUAACUUACUGGCUCAAGUCACUAAGAGACAGGAUUCAGGUUUGGCAUGAGUUAGAACACUCUGACUUGAGUGGAAGGUUUCCCAUACAACUGUCACAGGAGGAUGAAGGCUCCACCCGUGGUAGAUUAGCGGAUGUACACUGUGAAUGGUCCAUUGUUAUGCUCUUCCUGCCUUAGUGAGACAAGAAAUAAGAACCACUUGAAGCUUCUGCCAAAAAACAGAGACUUUCUUCUCCCAAGACAAAGAAGCAUAAAACAUAAGGGAGACGGAACUGCACCUGCUUUGUGCCUUGAUGCUCAGGCAAAGAGAACACGAAGAUAUUCGAGGUUCCAAGUGGUCAGGUCCUGUUUUCUCCCCUCUCGGAAGAAGGGUCGGGGUUGGAGGGAAUGCGAAUGGAGGGAGAGGUGGCAAACAGUUGCAAGUUCUCUGACAAAGCAGCUCCCUCAGAUUCCCCUUCCUCUCCUCAGAGUGGACUUUGAGGAGAGGCUUUAGAGAGCAGUGAUUUGUCAGCAUUGCCAUCAAGACUGCUGAAGAAUUCACUAGAUGGUGGCUAAGCCUACGUUAAGAACCUAAAUUUACCAUCCAGCCUCAGAGGAAUGACUUUACGUGUCGAAGUGGUGGCUUGAGAAAUGAGGAGAGCAGAGGGGUGGAAGGGUUCAAUUACAUAAAAGAUACAGAUAUAUAAUUUUAC
This 1131-nucleotide long non-coding RNA is filed under the name Equus asinus (donkey). RNAcentral's name for it is "lncRNA (ENSEASG00005028433.1)". The record is from RNAcentral. Lineage: Eukaryota; Metazoa; Chordata; Mammalia; Perissodactyla; Equidae.